AGAGCAGGAACAGUUUUUUAUAGUUUAGUGUUCAUAAUAUUUUUAGUGAUUUAUUAUUAUGGAGAAAAUUCUAGACGAAUGGGAAUUGGCCGAUUUGAUUCCAAUAUUCAAGGAGCAUGGAAUAACACCUGAUAAUAUAACAAAACUAACAGAAAGCCUAAUUAAGGAAUUGAUCCCAAAUAUCGGAAAAAGGAUGAAAUUCACUGAGAAGUGGAUUAAGAUAGUAGAGUCGUCGGUAUGUACUCAAGUAUGUUCACACAAUAGUUCAUGCAAUAGGUGAUACAAAUUUAGUACCUGUUCUAAUUUUAGGAAACAAAGAUAUAUUUUUUUAAUUUUUGUUAUACGUUUUUUUUAUGAUAAUAUAUUAUAUAUUUUUGACGAAUGUUAUAUGUUUAUGUUGAGAAAAUAAAAUGUGUUCAAUUUUUUCCUUUGUAAAUUCUGUUAUCACCCAAAAUUCCAUUUUCAGGUA
Harmonia axyridis is the source of this 469-nucleotide long non-coding RNA. RefSeq lists it as uncharacterized. The transcript has 2 exons. NCBI's taxonomy places the organism in Eukaryota, Metazoa, Arthropoda, Insecta, Coleoptera, Coccinellidae. The record is from RefSeq and is a predicted model, not a curated record.